RNAcentral lists this transfer RNA (65 nucleotides) under Ceratitis rosa (Natal fruit fly). RNAcentral's name for it is "tRNA-Gly". Lineage: Eukaryota; Metazoa; Arthropoda; Insecta; Diptera; Tephritidae. The record is from RNAcentral. RNAcentral also lists the same sequence under 2 other names.
AUCUAUAUAGUAUAUAAGUAUAUUUGACUUCCAAUCAUAAGGUCUACUAUUUAGUAGUAUAGAUA